UUCUUCUAGAAUUAAAAAUUAGAAGUACGCCCUGCCCAAUGAUAAUAUUAAAUGGCCGCGGUAUCCUAACCGUGCAAAGGUAGCAUAAUCACUUGCCCGUUAAUUACGGGCUAGAAUGAACGGGUAAACGAAAUAGAAGCUGUCUCAAUUAAAUAACUAAAAAUUAUCCUUUAGAUGAAGAGAUCUAAAUAUAGUUGAAGGACAAGAAGACCCUAUAGAGCUUUACUAUUAAAUAUAAUAAAAUAUACAUAAAUAGUUCGGUUGGGGCGACCAAGGAAUAAAAAUCAUCCUUAAAAAUAAAGAUACACAUAUCAAUAAAUAUGACCCAAAUAUGAUCACAGAAUCAAGCUACCUUAGGGAUAACAGGCUAAUCCUCCUACAGAGGCCUUAUCAACAGGAGGGAUUGGCACCUCGAUGUUGGCUUAGGAAAUCUUUAUGAUGCAGAAGUCAUAAAAAGAAGGUUUGUUCAACCUAUAAUAUCCU
RNAcentral lists this ribosomal RNA (483 nucleotides) under Guestphalinus sp. PDW-2010. RNAcentral describes it as "partial 16S ribosomal RNA". It matches the Rfam family "Bacterial large subunit ribosomal RNA", at positions 1828 to 2597 of the family's 2925-position model. Lineage: Eukaryota; Metazoa; Annelida; Clitellata; Lumbriculida; Lumbriculidae. RNAcentral also lists the same sequence under 1 other name. The record is from RNAcentral.